RNAcentral lists this ribosomal RNA (395 nucleotides) under uncultured bacterium. RNAcentral's name for it is "bacterial SSU rRNA". It matches the Rfam family "Bacterial small subunit ribosomal RNA", at positions 29 to 452 of the family's 1533-position model. The record is from RNAcentral.
AGCGAACGCUGGCGGCAGGCCUAACACAUGCAAGUCGAGCGCCCGGGCAACCGGGAGCGGCAGACGGGUGAGUAACACGUGGGAACAUGCCCUUGGUUCGGAAUAACUCAGGGAAACUUGAGCUAAUACCGAAUACGUCCGUAAGGAGAAAGAUUUAUCGCCGAAGGAUUGGCCCGCGUCUGAUUAGCUAGUUGGUGGGGUAAUGGCCCACCAAGGCUACGAUCAGUAGCUGGUCUGAGAGGAUGAUCAGCCACACUGGGACUGAGACACGGCCCAGACUCCUACGGGAGGCAGCAGUGGGAAUAUUGGACAAUGGGCGCAAGCCUGAUCCAGCCAUGCCGCGUGAGUGAUGAAGGCCCUAGGGUUGUAAAGCUCUUUCGGCGGGGGAAGAUAAU